This is a long non-coding RNA of Limulus polyphemus (Atlantic horseshoe crab), 329 nucleotides long. RefSeq lists it as uncharacterized. The transcript has 3 exons. The record is from RefSeq and is a predicted model, not a curated record. Lineage: Eukaryota; Metazoa; Arthropoda; Merostomata; Xiphosura; Limulidae.
GAAUGUAACCUAUAAUUUUUUUAAAUUUUCCUUUCUUUAGAAUAAUUUUAACUGUAAAAUGUUAUGUACGUCUUGAUCCUCUUGGAGGAGAAGGUAAACAAAAGAACCUGCACCGCUACAGACAUUAGUAACCAAAGAAUAACAGCAAGAAUUCUAAAUGCUGGAGGUUAAUCCUUUAGAGGGUGAUAAUGCAUCCUCUUCCACUCCUAAGUCAGUCUCCAGACGCUCUGUGCUUAGUAGUGUACCACUGGUCGACUUGAGACCAAAAGAACAUGAAAGUGACGUUAAAACCACACUUCCAACAUACAUGGAAUGUUUCAAAAUGAUUG